CAUGGUGGCCUUACCACCAUGGACACACCCGAUCUCGUCUGAUCUCGGAAGCUAAGCAUGGUCGGGCCUGGUUAGUACCGGGAUGGGAGACCGCCUGGGAAUACCAGGUGCUGUAAGUG
Molecule: ribosomal RNA, 119 nt
Organism: Gadus morhua (Atlantic cod)
Lineage: Eukaryota; Metazoa; Chordata; Actinopteri; Gadiformes; Gadidae
Source: Ensembl